ACCUACGGGGGGCAGCAGUGGGGAAUAUUGCACAAUGGGGGAAACCCUGAUGCAGCAACGCCGCGUGAGUGAAGAAGGUUUUCGGAUUGUAAAGCUCUGUUAGCAGGGAAGAGGAAGGACGGUACCUGCAGAGGAAGCCACGGCUAACUACGUGCCAGCAGCCGCGGUAAUACGUAGGUGGCAAGCGUUAUCCGGAUUCACUGGGCGUAAAGGGAGCGCAGGCGGCAUGGCAAGUCUGAUGUGAAAACCCGGGGCCCAACCCCGGGAGUGCAUUGGAAACUGCCAGG
Molecule: ribosomal RNA, 287 nt
Filed under: uncultured bacterium
Lineage: Bacteria
Description: partial 16S ribosomal RNA
Rfam family: Bacterial small subunit ribosomal RNA
Source: RNAcentral